This 433-nucleotide ribosomal RNA is filed under the name uncultured bacterium. RNAcentral's name for it is "partial 16S ribosomal RNA". It matches the Rfam family "Bacterial small subunit ribosomal RNA", at positions 29 to 507 of the family's 1533-position model. The record is from RNAcentral.
AGCGAACGCUGGCGGCAGGCCUAACACAUGCAAGUCGAACGAACUCUUCGGAGUUAGUGGCGGACGGGUGAGUAACACGUGGUAACGUGCCUUUUGGUUCGGAAUAACUCAGGGAAACUUGUGCUAAUACCGAAUGUGCCCUUCGGGGGAAAGAUUUAUCGCCAUUAGAGCGGCCCGCGUCUGAUUAGCUAGUUGGUGAGGUAACGGCUCACCAAGGCGACGAUCAGUAGCUGGUCUGAGAGGAUGACCCGCCACACUGGGACUGAGACACGGCCCAGACUCCUACGGGAGGCAGCAGUGGGGAAUCUUGCGCAAUGGGCGAAAGCCUGACGCAGCCCUGGCGCGUGAAUGAUGAAGGUCUUAGGGUUGUAAAAUUCUUUCACCGGGGACGAUAAUGACGGUACCCGGAGAAGAAGCCCCGGCUAACUUCGUG